This is a transfer RNA of Grosmannia clavigera kw1407, 74 nucleotides long. It matches the Rfam family "tRNA". From Rfam's summary of the family: Transfer RNA (tRNA) molecules are approximately 80 nucleotides in length. Their secondary structure includes four short double-helical elements and three loops (D, anti-codon, and T loops). NCBI's taxonomy places the organism in Eukaryota, Fungi, Ascomycota, Sordariomycetes, Ophiostomatales, Ophiostomataceae. The record is from Rfam.
GUCACCAUGGCGCAGUUGGCUAGCGCGUAGGUCUCAUAAUCCUGAGGUCGAGAGUUCGAGCCUCUCUGGUGACA